AUGCCCAUUGGUGUUCCAAAAGUACCUUACCGGAUUCCUGGAGAUGAAGAAGCGACUUGGGUUGACUUAUACAAUGUUAUGUAUCGAGAAAGGACAUUUUUAGGUCAAGAGAUUCGUUGCGAGAUCACGAAUCAUAUUACAGGUCUCAUGGUAUAUCUGAGUAUAGAAGAUGGAAUUAGUGAUAUUUUUUUGUUUCUAAACUCCCCGGGCGGGUGGCUAAUCUCAGGAAUGGCUAUUUUUGAUACGAUGCAAACGGUGACACCAGAUAUAUAUACAAUAUGCCUCGGAAUAGCCGCCUCCAUGGCAUCCUUCAUUCUGCUUGGAGGAGAACGAGUUCAUCCGUGA
Molecule: ribosomal RNA, 345 nt
Filed under: Triticum aestivum (bread wheat)
Lineage: Eukaryota; Viridiplantae; Streptophyta; Magnoliopsida; Poales; Poaceae
Description: partial small subunit ribosomal RNA
Source: RNAcentral